Molecule: ribosomal RNA, 301 nt
Filed under: uncultured bacterium
Lineage: Bacteria
Description: partial 16S ribosomal RNA
Rfam family: Bacterial small subunit ribosomal RNA
Source: RNAcentral
CAGUCGCCGCGGUAAUACGUAGGUGGCAAGCGUUGUCCGGAAUUAUUGGGCGUAAAGGGCUCGCAGGCGGUUUCUUAAGUCUGAUGUGAAAGCCUCCGGCUCAACCGGGGAGGGUCAUUGGAAACUGGGAAACUUGAGUGCAGAAGAGGAGAGUGGAAUUCCACGUGUAGCGGUGAAAUGCGUAGAGAUGUGGAGGAACACCAGUGGCGAAGGCGACUCUCUGGUCUGUAACUGACGCUGAGGAGCGAAAGCGUGGGGAGCGAACAGGAUUAGAUACCCGUGUAGUCCCUGUCUCUUAUAC